This 497-nucleotide ribosomal RNA is filed under the name uncultured bacterium. RNAcentral describes it as "partial 16S ribosomal RNA". It matches the Rfam family "Bacterial small subunit ribosomal RNA", at positions 28 to 507 of the family's 1533-position model. The record is from RNAcentral.
GAUGAACGCUGGCGGCGUGCCUAAUACAUGCAAGUCGAGCGAACGGACGAGAAGCUUGCUUCUCUGAUGUUAGCGGCGGACGGGUGAGUAACACGUGGAUAACCUACCUAUAAGACUGGGAUAACUUCGGGAAACCGGAGCUAAUACCGGAUAAUAUUUUGAACCGCAUGGUCCAAAAGUGAAAGACGGUCUUGCUGUCACUUAUAGAUGGAUCCGCGCUGCAUUAGCUAGUUGGUAAGGUAACGGCUUACCAAGGCAACGAUGCAUAGCCGACCUGAGAGGGUGAUCGGCCACACUGGAACUGAGACACGGUCCAGACUCCUACGGGAGGCAGCAGUAGGGAAUCUUCCGCAAUGGGCGAAAGCCUGACGGAGCAACGCCGCGUGAGUGAUGAAGGUCUUUGGAUCGUAAAACUCUGUUAUUAGGGAAGAACAUAUGUGUAAGUAACUGUGCACAUCUUGACGGUACCUAAUCAGAAAGCCACGGCUAACUACGUG